This 433-nucleotide ribosomal RNA is filed under the name uncultured bacterium. Its description in RNAcentral is "partial 16S ribosomal RNA". It matches the Rfam family "Bacterial small subunit ribosomal RNA", at positions 29 to 507 of the family's 1533-position model. The record is from RNAcentral.
AACGAACGCUGGCGGCAUGCCUAACACAUGCAAGUCGAACGAGACCUUCGGGUCUAUUGGCGCACGGGUGCGUAACGCGUGGGAACCUGCCCUUAGGUUCGGAAUAACUCCCCGAAAGGGGUGCUAAUACCGGAUAAUGUCUUCGGACCAAAGAUUUAUCGCCUUUGGAUGGGCCCGCGUUGGAUUAGCUAGUUGGUAGGGUAAAAGCCUACCAAGGCGACGAUCCAUAGCUGGUCUGAGAGGAUGAUCAGCCACACUGGGACUGAGACACGGCCCAGACUACUACGGGAGGCAGCAGUGGGGAAUAUUGGAAAAUGGGCGAAAGCCUGAUCCAGCAAUGCCGCGUGAGUGAUGAAGGCCUUAGGGUUGUAAAGCUCUUUUACCCGGGAUGAUAAUGACAGUACCGGGAGAAUAAGCUCCGGCUAACUCCGUG